UAUGCUGCAUUUAUUUAUAAUACAGCUGCUGGCUGAUCAUUCAUUUGUUAAUGGUUAGGAGACAGUGUCUGGAUAGCAGGAAAGAUUCUCUCUGUGUUUUUUGAAUGAGAUACCCAACAAAGGAAAGCGAGAGCAAGAGUGAGAGAGCACACACAGAAACAGCAGCCGGGAAGUUGGAAUGGGCAGAGAAAGAGAGCUGGCAAUUCUGACUAGAGUUAGCUGAAAGUGGAAGUGCCCACACAGACCCUCACACAGUCCCAGACAGCAGGCCAUUUUCUUUUACCUGUAGUCAGACUGUUACUAUUUUUCAGGAGGCAUUCAACUGCAUACCAGCAAAUUUAGGUAUGUACAACAUAUACCCGAUGCUGUACACAACUUCCAUGCAAAUAAACGAAUGUGCAACAAAGAGUGGACAUCGCAUAACUUCUGCACAGGCUUUGUGCAAUCAAAUCAGGAUGAAUGCACAACAUACAGGAAGCGAUUAAAGGUUUGUCUCCUUUAUCCCGUUGAAAACAGGAAAGCCUCCUGUCAUGCAGACUCAGAGAUUCUCGGGGCCCAAUGAAGUGAGCAAAACCAAAACUCCGGUGAGAAUAUGUGGGGUUUGAAGGAGGAGUGGCUAGCUUAACCUUUCCCAUGUGAAGAUGGGAAAGUAACUGACACAGGAAACUCAGUAAGAGGUGAGAAGGAAGGCUACCACAAGUGGGAGCUGUAGCUACCAUCUAAUGCUGGUCCUGCAGCAACCAUAUGGAGAGCUUUAGCAGAGCAAGAACAUGCAGCUGAUGCUUUGUAUUAGAGGUGAAGAGGUGACUUGAAUUGUGCUACUGUUAAUUUGCCCUUUAAGCAGCUACAGCAGGGAGUCUAUAAUGGCAAGAAGCCGUGCAAGGAGAUUUGCCUAUCAGAUUAUUAUGUCAGAAAUGCUAAAGAUUGAAAGCAAUGGAAGGGCAAAUAGCUUUUGGUCACCAAUUUAACAUAAUCCACUGAGCAUUCAAGGACACCCAUUUGUAAAUAUUUUGUAAGUAUACUCAGAUAAAAUGCAUUCAUACCUACAUUUCUCCCCAGUAUUUUUAUGCUAGUGGAGACAAGAUGCUUUUGGUCCUUCAUUACGUGUGUGUGUGUGUGUGUGUGUGUGUGUGUGUCUGUCUGUCUGUCUGUCUGUGUUUAAUGAUGCUGUUAACUCCUCUGUGCCAUGCCAGAGACUAUUUAAAGAACCGUCAUGGCAAAAUACACCCCAGUUGUAUUGUUUUUAGCAAUCCGUCCCACAACGACAAACA
Podarcis muralis (Common wall lizard) is the source of this 1271-nucleotide non-coding RNA. NCBI's taxonomy places the organism in Eukaryota, Metazoa, Chordata, Lepidosauria, Squamata, Lacertidae. The record is from RefSeq and is a predicted model, not a curated record.